GACGAACGCUGGCGGCGUGCUUAACACAUGCAAGUCGAACGGAAAGGCCCUGCUUUUGUGGGGUGCUCGAGUGGCGAACGGGUGAGUAACACGUGAGUAACCUGCCCUUGACUUUGGGAUAACUUCAGGAAACUGGGGCUAAUACCGGAUAGGAGCUCCUGCUGCAUGGUGGGGGUUGGAAAGUUUCGGCGGUUGGGGAUGGACUCGCGGCUUAUCAGCUUGUUGGUGGGGUAGUGGCUUACCCAGGCUUUGACGGGUAGCCGGCCUGAGAGGGUGACCGGCCACGUUGGGACUGAGAGACGGCCCAGACUCCUACGGGAGGCAGCAGUGGGGAAUAUUGCACAAUGGGCGGAAGCCUGAUGCAGCAACGCCGCGUGCGGGAUGACGGCCUUCGGGUUGUAAACCGCUUUCGCCUGUGACGAAGCGUGAGUGACGGUAAUGUGUAAAGAAGCACCGGCUAACUACGUG
This 468-nucleotide ribosomal RNA is filed under the name uncultured bacterium. RNAcentral's name for it is "partial 16S ribosomal RNA". It matches the Rfam family "Bacterial small subunit ribosomal RNA", at positions 28 to 507 of the family's 1533-position model. The record is from RNAcentral.